GGCGCUGGAGAGGCGGGGAGGGCGCCGGGCCGCGCAUGCUCAGAGAGGGACACCAAGCGCUCACUCCGGAGUGCAGGCAGAGGGAGGAGAGCGAGCCGGGGGGUGAGGCGAGCGAGACUGCGCUCACCGGAGCGGCAGGGGGCUCGGCGGGGUUCGCGGAAGGCAGCUGGGAAACCGAACGGCAAAGGUGCGCCCUGCGCGGGGACUCCCUGGCGCCCGCGGUGCGGGAAGCCGGUGGCGGGAUCCCGACCCAUCUUGGGAGACCGCAUCAGCGGCGAGUCCGCGGAAUGCCGGGCUCUCCCCGCCGUGUAUUUUUAGCGCUUGCGCUGGGGUUUCUGUGGACCUCUCUCUUGCCUCUGCGCUGUGGGGGUGACCGUGAUGCGUCUCCCCAGAGGUCCAGGAGGACCCAUGGGCAGCAAGUCGCACCUGAACUAAAGUCAGUUUCCUGGUCUCUGCUUCUUUCUUCCUCUCCCAACUUCCACUCUGUGAAGGGCGGAAAAAGGCAACCGUCCACUCGAGUCCCAAAACAGAAGACAAGACAUCCCAAGCAGGGAACUCCCGGUAAAGAUAUUCCUUCCUCCUGUUGAUUCACUUAUGGUCCCUCCAGAAAAGGACUACCUUUUGGUCACCCCAUCUUUGGAGGGAUAGAAGACAGCUUACUCUGUGCAAAUCUUUUCCAAGCUUUCAGUGAAGACCACCUCUGAGCACUUCUACUAUGCAGUGCAAGUGAGCAGAUGCAUCCUUGCUGAACUCUGACCCCCAUCCCAUUCAUCUUCCGGAUAAUAAUGCCGAGUGACACUGGACAGCAGGACAAUUAGAUCAAGCCCCAGCACACACCCGGAGGAGAGACAACAGCGUGUCUAAAUACCACCAACAAAAGCAAAGUUUAGGAGAUAGAAAAAGGAAGGAAGGAAAAAAUUAAGAGAACAGGAAAGUUCUUAAACAGCAGGUGCCCUGAGUGUAGCAGCUGGUUUCCUUCUCUCAGUAGCUCCUUGACAGGAGUAGAAUUGCAGCAUCUCUUUGCUUAAAGGACAGUGAGUCUGAGUCUUUAACCACCAGGUAGGGGAGACUAGGUUCUCCCGAAAAGCAGCAAAGCCUCUUUAGUGAACCACUCACAAUAUUUGGGGCUCCUACUUCCACAUCUGUUUUUCUCAGGCUUCCCCUGGGCACCAGGCUUCUUGGAAGCCAUUCAAGACAGAUCUGCCUUGUUACCACAUACCCCUCAGAACAGUGAAUAGCCUUCCCUGGAAUCUCAGGGUGUUAGCAUUGGCAGGGCCUUGAGGCAGGAGAGCCAUUCUCGCUGCCCUGACGCUGAAUAAUCACAAGGUAAGUGAGGAUUCUAAAUCCAGAAGUGAGUGGGACCUGGAACAGAGAGGUGGGGCUGGGAUAGGUGCUGGUCUCAACUCUGCAGCUCUAUCAGUAGAGAUGGGGCUGAGGCACUUCCUUCUACCAUGGCAAGUCUCCAGGGCUGCCUGGCCAAGAGGUACACUCUCCUUUGUCUGAGCCUGGCCUUGGGUGAGGAGGAAAGGAACACCACUCCCCUGGAUGCUCAGGGACACCCUAUUCACCAUCUCAAAGCUCCAACAAGGUGAAGGAUGAAGGAAACUUUAUAAAUUUGGAAUUGCAAAUAAAGUGGAAUCCCUUUAUGGUACUGCUACGAGAGAAUGAACUCGCAGUUCUGGAAGAGAUUUUUAGUGUUUGGGGAAAGUGGAGGAAGCCCAGGGGACGUUGAAUGAGAUGAUGUACAUAAAACAUUCAACACAGUGCCUCGCGCUUAGCAGGCUCUCCGUAACUUGUAGCCAUUAUUCUUUCGGUUAUUAACAUUUUCAUUAUUAUGAUUUUUUUAAAAGGCUGAAUGUUCUUUUUUUCCCUAAGCUUAAACAAAUAAAACAGAUGAUAGCCAAA
Equus asinus (donkey) is the source of this 1905-nucleotide long non-coding RNA. NCBI's taxonomy places the organism in Eukaryota, Metazoa, Chordata, Mammalia, Perissodactyla, Equidae. The record is from Ensembl.